GCAUCACGCAGGCUCUGUUAAGGGUGCUGGCUCUGUUAAGGGUGCUUAAACCGCUUGUGACCUGCACAUGUUUGGAUCAUUCACCGUCUCGGGAGCCCGUGGCGGUGUCGGUUGGUGAGAGGCUGGCUGGCUGAAAGAGCUGGUACCGGGAGAGCAUUAGGCAGAGAUUAGUGGUGUUUGUGGUGCGCCGUGGCGUGCCACCCCCGGCCCCCCAGCGGCGUGGUGCUCCGGUGGCAGCCGACCGUAACCUCUGGUGCCAGGGAUCAGAACCGUGCUGGGCGGACCGGGUGUGUUACAGCCCUGCUGAAGGGGUGGCCGCCGUGGGGCGCAACCAUGUGCUGGCUUCGGUACCGCAGCGGCACCGGCCUCGAUUAGAGAGCUUUGCAGUUAACUUCCGAAACAGUAGGUACCUACCCCGUGGUCCCGUUGAGUGACAACAUUUUAUUUUCAACCGUUCCGCGCGCUACCUCCAAAAUGGUCAGAGAAGAACCAGAAGACAUUUCCUGUCUGGAAAGUUCCUAAGUGUUGUUUUUUUACCAAGUGCUCAUGAGUGAAAUCUGCCUCUUAAGCAGGAGGUUCGUAGAGGUCUUAUAACAAAUGUGUUCUGCUGAUCCAUGGUCCACGUGGCUCACAGGUCGCCACAACCAGCUGCAUCGCGUUACCUCUAAAGAUGGUUGAUUUAAGAAAAAUUGGAGCAAUUUAAUGGGUGAGUCCAUUUAUAAAGGCGCUGAAUUGACCUUGUUCCUCGAGGAAAACCCAUAUUUGAUAAGUAUCCAAACUCUGUUUGCGCCACGGCGCAUCACAACCACCCCAUUAGACAUUAGAGUCUUUGCAGAUCUAGAGUUUUGUUUUUCCUUCAAUACCUCGCCUCAGAGGGGAGGCCACUAGAGAUGAGGACAGACAUCGCCGUGAUGAGGCCUGUGGCCAGGGCUGAGGGUGGGCUUGGACCUGCCAUGGUGAUACAAGGUCUCCAGACCGUGUGAUCGUGUACUUUGGGGGGGAGCCUGGACUAGACUGUGACCCAGCAUUUUGUUUUUGUUUGUUUCACCAGACUAAAGAAGGCAGAGGAGUGUUUCCGACAAGCCAAGGAAAAAGCUACCUACAGUGUGAAACCCAAGCAUGCAUCGGGGAUUAAAGCCAAGCUGGGCAUGAAGAUAUGAGACUGUUGUUUUCCUGAAUUCCUCGCCAGGAGAGAGAGAGAGAACGUGAUGUAAUGGUUGGUGAACAACAAAGCCAAGUUGGAGAGCAUGUGUUGCUGCAGACAAAGCACUAAGGCUUAAAAACUAAAACAAUAUGCCUCAUAAUAGGCAAACUUUUUGAAAUAGGGCACUACUUUUGACCUGGAUCUGUAGGGCUCUGGUUGAAAGUAGGCCACUAUUUCAGAGACAGGGUUCCAUUUGGGGCGUUGAAGACAUUUCACAUUUUACCCCAAACAAGAGUCAGCCUCCUGUUGGCUAGCCUGCUCUGUGAAUCUGCUUGCUCAACAGUCUUCUACCAUAUAUCACCCCCCCCCGCCUCAAUAUCCCAUCACGAAGAGGAGAGAAAUGUCAAUGGGUCAAAGGUUAUGUGAUGUCAUCACCUCACUGGAACUUCUACCAGUGAUUGGUCAAAGGAGUUGUCUAUGAUCAGCCUAGAAAUAGAGCAUUAAGAAUGGUCUUUCCCAUGUCCAAACAUGUUUAUAUGGCGAGGAAUACCCUGUCUAUGCUCCAAGGAGAAAACCGAGCUGUCCUUUGUCUUCAUUGCAUGUGCAGUUUCAAGGCCUGCGAUCAUGACACACCUCACCUCUUGCAGUAUUCCAGCGCAUUACAACACGUGUUUUACAAAGCAAUAUCACUUGAGGCACAUGGGAGACGUGAGAAGACCGCGUGAUUGGUGUCGGCUCUGCGACAGGCGUGGUUUGUGAACAGCCGGGGACAACACGGCCCGCCCUAUUCCCAUGUCAGUCGCGUUGAACUAUGAAGGGAACGGUAUGCCGUUUGGGGCGCUGUGCCUGUGAGGACGGCCGGCUACAGUACCAUCAACAUGUUGUCAACGGGGAAUAGUGUUGUUGUUGUUGUUCAGUCACUCAGAUGUUCGUCAUAAUACAUGCCUUUAAUCCCAAACUAAAACCACAGUUUUCCCAACAAGCGUUUUAAAUUGAAAUGUGGUGACAAGUUUUUUGGGGGCUGGGUAACGAACGGGGAGAUCGUUUUGUUUAGUCCAAGUCUAUACUGUAUCGGCUUGGAUUUUCUUUAAUCAACAGAAUAACCCCUGUAUUUAGAUAUCCCAUGUGAAGCUGAAGCAGAUUGCUGCGGAGAAGAGCUUGCUGUGUCCGUGCUGGUCGGUAAAGAGAGAGCACUAAGCUCUGUGGCUCUGUGGUGACUUCUGUUCCGGGGGGAUGGGGAUCUGGAAGGCGUUCCUAGCUACCUGACGCAACCAGCACUUCAAAUACCUAGAGAUUUUUGGAUAGGCCAAUAGUUUUUUUUGUAUUGGCCAAAAUGAAUGCCAAUGUGGUAUAAAUUGUAAAUGACUAAUUUAUUCUGUUUUAACUCGCCUGGAGUAUGAUGACGUGACACCUCAUGUAUGUGUGAGGACAGAUAAUGGGG
Esox lucius (northern pike) is the source of this 2585-nucleotide long non-coding RNA. The record is from Ensembl. Lineage: Eukaryota; Metazoa; Chordata; Actinopteri; Esociformes; Esocidae.